Molecule: non-coding RNA, 23 nt
Filed under: Gallus gallus (chicken)
Lineage: Eukaryota; Metazoa; Chordata; Aves; Galliformes; Phasianidae
Also listed under: 2 other names
Source: RNAcentral
GGUCGGGGUUUCGUACGUAGCAG